RNAcentral lists this long non-coding RNA (273 nucleotides) under Urocitellus parryii (Arctic ground squirrel). RNAcentral's name for it is "lncRNA (ENSUPAG00010021864.1)". Lineage: Eukaryota; Metazoa; Chordata; Mammalia; Rodentia; Sciuridae. The record is from RNAcentral.
CACACGCUCUGUGGCCUGCGGGUGUCUCUGCCUACAAGGGCGAAUGCCGUGAAUUCCGGGAAGUGUUUUCGAGAAGCCUGAGUGGAGGCAGAGGUAGUCGACUUCUUGACAACUGGCAGCAAAGCUCCUGGCACAGUUCUGCUCUCCUGAUAUCGACGUGCCUUAGGACUCUGCCUAUUCCAUGAGGAGGAGGGAAAAUGACCACAUUCAAUGUGAGUAAGGCUUGUUUUUCUCACUGUAAAACUUCCAUCCUGCAACUCAUAUUGUCAGGUU